UACGGAGGGUGCAAGCGUUAAUCGGAAUUACUGGGCGUAAAGCGUGCGCAGGCGGUUUGUUAAGACAGAUGUGAAAUCCCCGGGCUUAACCUGGGAACUGCAUUUGUGACUGGCAAGCUAGAGUAUGGCAGAGGGGGGUAGAAUUCCACGUGUAGCAGUGAAAUGCGUAGAGAUGUGGAGGAAUACCGAUGGCGAAGGCAGCCCCCUGGGCCAAUACUGACGCUCAUGCACGAAAGCGUGGGGAGCAAACAGG
Molecule: ribosomal RNA, 253 nt
Filed under: uncultured bacterium
Lineage: Bacteria
Description: partial 16S ribosomal RNA
Rfam family: Bacterial small subunit ribosomal RNA
Source: RNAcentral